GUGCAAUCACAGCUAAGGUGCAAUCACAGCUCACUGUAGCCUCGAACUCCUGGACUCAAGGGAUCGUCCUGAGUCAGCCUCCUGAGUAGGUGGGAUUACUGAGCAGGUGGCACCAAUGCACUCUAGUGGUAAUUUUUAAUUUUCUUUUUUGUAGAGGCUGAGUCUUCCUUGGUUGCCCAGGCUGGUCUCCAACUCUGGCCUCCAGCGAUCUCCCACCUUGACAUUCCAAUGUGCUGGGAUUACAGGUGCACUUUGCAUUCAGCGUUCAAACAUGCCGACUUCCUCCUGCGGAAACACCAAACGAAAGGGAACUUCUCCCACCUCAGCCUCCGUCCAGUAACAACCGGGCUAUCCUUUCCCUCCGGUUCACCGCCAAACUUCUUGAAAGAUUCUCAUCUAUACUUUGUUUAAACAAGGCCAACUUACCUUUUCACACGCUGAAAUCGUGCUUCUGCUGAGUGUUCAAGAGGAACUAUUCUCACCGUGGUCACCAGCGACUCAUGAAUUGUCAAAACUGAGGGACAGGCCGGGAUCACAUCUGUAAUCCCGGCACAUUGGGAGACCAAGGUGGGCGGAUCACUUGAGGUCAGGAGUUCAAGACCAGCCUGGGCAGCAUGGCAAAACCCCGUCUCUACUAAAAAUACAAAAAUUAGCUUGGUGUGCUGGCACAAACCUGUAAUCCAGGUACUCCAGAAGCUGAGGUGGGAGGAUUGCUUGAACCCAGGAGGCAAAGGUAGCAGUGAGUCGAGACUGUACCACUACACUCCAGCCUGGGUGACUGAGUGACAGCUUGUCUCAAAAAAACACAAAGAAAAACAAAACAAAAAAAUACUGAGGGGCAGUUUCUGUCCUUGCCUGAUCCUUGGGAAGCAUGUGUCAGCAUAAACAGUUCCCUCCUUUGGGCCCAGAACUGUCUCCUGGAAAAUACAUGAAUAUCUCACAGGAAUGCGAAACAUAACAUGUUCAGGAUAAAACUAACCAUAUUCCCCCCAAAUCUGCUUCUUAGCAGGGGUCCUGUAGGAAUGGCCCCACUAUCUACUUAAUGAGUGAGUACAAUUUUAGCCAUUAAUAUUUGCCUUGUCAUUACUUCGUAACAUGUAGAUGUACAGUUUUGAGGAUACAAAUAUAUUUUGUGGAGUAGAAGUAAAAAAUAGCAUAUUUUUAUUAAUUAAAUGAGACAAAAUUUAUACCUUUUUUUCCAAUCAAAUUCUACUCAAAAGGUUAAUGUAUGACCAAAAAUAAAGUUUGUAAGUGGUACCUGGAAAAAAUGUGUGCUACUCCAAACAUGUGGAAAUUAGAGAAAUAAGAUGGACCCUGAAAGAAAAACUAGUAAAAUCCACAAUAUUGAAUGAGAUUAGUUAUCUGUGGGAGUAACCCAAACACAGCUUAAAUUCCUAAUUAAGGAAGUUGGAAAUGCCCAAAACUCUACCAAAGCAUUCUGAGUGUCUCACUGGAAUAUUUAUUAAAUUCAAACCUAACAGAUUGUAAAAUGUAGAGAAAGGAUCAAACUGAAAAGAGAUAUUUAGCUAGAAAACAGAAAACUAAAUUGCAAUGAGUCAGGUAUUGACAUGUAUAUCUGUGAAGGUCUUGAGGCAGGUGUCUCAUCCCUUUGGUGCAAAUGUAGGCUUCAGACUCUUGGAACCUGGUGUCGUUAAAUAUUUCAAUCAUAUAAUUGACUUCCCAUUUAUGUUCCAUAGUCUAAUCAUAAACUAAAUUUCGAUGGAGACCAGCCUACAUGAAGAGUAUAGCUAUGCCACAUGAAUUUACUGUUUCCAAAAUAUAAAUAAAUACACCAAUACAUUGGCCUUGAAGUUAUAGCUCAGUCUCUUUGAGGUACCUUAACCUGAAUAUAGUCAUCCAUGACUUCUGAAUUUCCAAUUCAUCUAUAACUUCUAAGAUUUGACUCUAGAAUAUGAAGGUCUAAUUGAUGUACUGCUACUCCUUUGUAGAGAGAUUUCUUUUACUUAGAAAUCCUUAUAUUUUUGUGUCAUUGAUAAACUUUCAACCAGUGUUUUGC
RNAcentral lists this long non-coding RNA (2017 nucleotides) under Homo sapiens (human). Its description in RNAcentral is "HSALNT0112488". Lineage: Eukaryota; Metazoa; Chordata; Mammalia; Primates; Hominidae. The record is from RNAcentral.